This 492-nucleotide ribosomal RNA is filed under the name uncultured bacterium. Its description in RNAcentral is "partial 16S ribosomal RNA". It matches the Rfam family "Bacterial small subunit ribosomal RNA", at positions 29 to 507 of the family's 1533-position model. The record is from RNAcentral.
AGUGAACGCUGGCGGUAGGCCUAACACAUGCAAGUCGAACGGCAGCACAGUAAGAGCUUGCUCUUACGGGUGGCGAGUGGCGGACGGGUGAGGAAUACAUCGGAAUCUACUUUUUCGUGGGGGAUAACGUAGGGAAACUUACGCUAAUACCGCAUACGACCUACGGGUGAAAGCAGGGGAUCUUCGGACCUUGCGCGAUUGAAUGAGCCGAUGUCGGAUUAGCUAGUUGGCGGGGUAAAGGCCCACCAAGGCGACGAUCCGUAGCUGGUCUGAGAGGAUGAUCAGCCACACUGGAACUGAGACACGGUCCAGACUCCUACGGGAGGCAGCAGUGGGGAAUAUUGGACAAUGGGCGCGAGCCUGAUCCAGCCAUACCGCGUGGGUGGAGGAGGCCUUCGGGUUGUAAAGCCCUUUUGUUGGGAAAGAAAAGCAGCAGGUUAAUACCCCGCUGUUCUGACGGUACCCAAAGAAUAAGCACCGGCUAACUUCGUG